AUACGGAGGGGGCUAGCGUUGUUCGGAAUUACUGGGCGUAAAGCGCGCGUAGGCGGCUUAUCAAGUUAGGCGUGAAAGGCCUGGGCUCAACCCCGGAACUGCCCUCAAUACUGCCAGUCUAGAGAUCGAGAGAGGUGAGUGGAAUUCCUAGUGUAGAGGUGAAAUUCGUAGAUAUUAGGAAGAACACCAGUGGCGAAGGCGGCUCACUGGCUCGAUACUGCCGCUGAGGCGCGAAAGCGUGGGGAGCAAACAGGAUUAGAAACCCCGGUAGUCC
RNAcentral lists this ribosomal RNA (274 nucleotides) under uncultured bacterium. Its description in RNAcentral is "partial 16S ribosomal RNA". It matches the Rfam family "Bacterial small subunit ribosomal RNA", at positions 523 to 796 of the family's 1533-position model. The record is from RNAcentral.